GCAGUGGUAGCUCAGUGGUAGAGCACUUACCUUGCACUUGUGAGGCACUGGGUUCUGUCCUCUGCA
This 66-nucleotide transfer RNA is filed under the name Ictidomys tridecemlineatus (thirteen-lined ground squirrel). RNAcentral's name for it is "Spermophilus tridecemlineatus (thirteen-lined ground squirrel) tRNA". It matches the Rfam family "tRNA". Rfam says of the family: Transfer RNA (tRNA) molecules are approximately 80 nucleotides in length. Their secondary structure includes four short double-helical elements and three loops (D, anti-codon, and T loops). The record is from Rfam by way of RNAcentral. Lineage: Eukaryota; Metazoa; Chordata; Mammalia; Rodentia; Sciuridae.